RNAcentral lists this long non-coding RNA (279 nucleotides) under Sorghum bicolor (sorghum). Its description in RNAcentral is "long non-coding RNA (SBIC_LNC010202)". The record is from RNAcentral. Lineage: Eukaryota; Viridiplantae; Streptophyta; Magnoliopsida; Poales; Poaceae.
GUGCGGUUUUCCUUUUCUUUUUUUGUUUAAAAUUGCUUGAUGUUUGAAUUUGUGUAGAAAAUUGUUUGCUGAUCCAAAAAUGAUGAAAAUUUUUGUAUAUGUUCUAUGCAGUGUGUAGAACACAGGAAAAAUACUAGAUUCCAUUGUCUGGUAGUGUACAUGUAUAUGAAAAUUGCAUCCUUUAAUUAAUAAAUAAAACUUCCAUGAAUUUUAAUAAUUUUUAGGUAUGUCCAAAAAUCACCAAAAUUUGUGAGAGGUCCCUGAGUAUUAUUCCAUGGC